Molecule: ribosomal RNA, 1374 nt
Filed under: Arthonia mediella
Lineage: Eukaryota; Fungi; Ascomycota; Arthoniomycetes; Arthoniales; Arthoniaceae
Description: LSU rRNA
Rfam family: Eukaryotic large subunit ribosomal RNA
Source: RNAcentral
CAUGCCAAGUUCCUUGGAACAGGACGUCCUAGAGGGUGAGAGCCCCGUACCGGCUUGAGUGACCUUUGCCAUGUGAAGCUCCUUCGACGAGUCGAGUUGUUUGGGAAUGCAGCUCUAAGCGGGAGGUAAAUUUCUUCUAAAGCUAAAUAUUCGGUGUCUCCGAUAGCGAACAAGUAGAGUGAUCGAAAGAUGAAAAGCACUUUGGAAAGAGAGUUAAAAAGCACGUGAAAUUGUUGAAAGGGAAGCGCUUGCCCCCAGACUUGCCCGCGGUCGUUCAGCCCCCCUUCUGGGGGGUGUACUCUUCCGCGGGCGGGCCAGCGUCAGCUUCGGCGGCCGGAUAAAGGCUUCGGGAAUGUAGCUCCCCCCGGGGAGUGUUAUAGCCCGAGGUGCAAUGCGGCCAGCCGGGGUUGAGGAUCGCGUUCUGCUAGGAUGCUGGCGUAAUGGGUGCAAGCGACCCGUCUUGAAACACGGACCAAGGAGUCGACCAUGUGUGCGAGUGUUUGGGCGUCAAACCCACACGCGUAAUGAAAGUGAACGGAGGUGGGAACCCGCAAGGGUGCACCAUCGACCGAUCCUGAUGUCUUCGGAUGGAUUUGAGUAAGAGCAUCCCUGGUCGGACCCGUAAGUUUUUGCCUACUCUUUCAGGUUUGGUAGAACGUAUACUAACAGUCUCUGCAGGAAAGAUGGUGAACUAUUCCUGGAUAGGCCGAAGCCAGAGGAAACUCUGGUGGAGGGUCGCAGCGGUUCUGACGUGCAAAUCGAUCGUCAAAUCUGGGUAUAGGGUGAGUUUAUGCCCUUAUUAUCUAUCGCUUUUUAAGACUUCUUGCUAACCUUUAUCUCUCAGGGCGAAAGACUAAUCGAACCAUCUGGUAGCUGGUUCCUGCCGAAGUUUCGUAAGUUUAUAAUAUUCUGCCUGACCUUUGGAGCGAAAACUAACAACCUCUACAGCCUCAGGAUAGCAGUAACGUAUUCAGUUUUAUGAGGUAAAGCGAAUGAUUAGAGGCCUUGGGGCUGAAACAGCCUUAACCUAUUCUCAAACUUUAAAUAUGUAAGAAGCUCUUGUUGCUUAAUUGAACGUGAGCAUUUGAAUGUACCGUUACUAGUGGGCCAUUUUUGGUAAGCAGAACUGGCGAUGCGGGAUGAACCGAACGUGGGGUUAAGGUGCCGGAAUGCACGCUCAUCAGACACCACAAAAGGUGUUAGUUCAUCUUGACAGCAGGACGGUGGCCAUGGAAGUCGGAACCCGCUAAGGAGUGUGUAACAACUCACCUGCCGAAUGAACUAGCCCUGAAAAUGGAUGGCGCUUAAGCGUGUUACCUAUACCCCACCGCCGGGCCAGAUACGAGGGCCCGGCGAGUAGGCAGGCGUGGGGGU